This 274-nucleotide ribosomal RNA is filed under the name uncultured bacterium. RNAcentral's name for it is "partial 16S ribosomal RNA". It matches the Rfam family "Bacterial small subunit ribosomal RNA", at positions 523 to 796 of the family's 1533-position model. The record is from RNAcentral.
AUACGAAGGGGGCAAGCGUUGUUCGGAAUAACUGGGCGUAAAGCGCACGUAGGCGGAAUGUUAAGUUAGAGGUGAAAUCCCAGGGCUCAACCCUGGAACUGCCUUUAAUACUGGCAAUCUAGAGACCGAGAGAGGUGAGUGGAAUUCCGAGUGUAGAGGUGAAAUUCGUAGAUAUUCGGAGGAACACCAGUGGCGAAGGCGGCUCACUGGCUCGGUACUGACGCUGAGGUGCGAAAGCGUGGGGAGCAGACAGGAUUAGAAACCCUAGUAGUCC